Molecule: unclassified non-coding RNA, 138 nt
Filed under: uncultured fungus
Lineage: Eukaryota; Fungi
Description: sequence contains ITS1, 5.8S rRNA gene
Source: RNAcentral
CCGUGAGGAUUCGUCCUCAUUGAGAUAGCACCCUUUGUUUAUGAGCACCAUUUGUUUCCUCGGCGGGCCUGCCCGCCGCUAGGACCUCUAUUAAACCUUUAUAGUAGUAGUACCCUCAGUAAAAUAAACAAAAUAUUA